This 73-nucleotide transfer RNA is filed under the name Nannocystaceae bacterium. RNAcentral describes it as "tRNA-Glu". It matches the Rfam family "tRNA". From Rfam's summary of the family: Transfer RNA (tRNA) molecules are approximately 80 nucleotides in length. Their secondary structure includes four short double-helical elements and three loops (D, anti-codon, and T loops). The record is from RNAcentral. Lineage: Bacteria; Pseudomonadati; Myxococcota; Nannocystales; Nannocystaceae.
GACCCUAUCGUCCAGAGGCCUAGGACGCCGGCUUCUCAAGUCGGUAACAGAGGUUCGAAUCCUCUUGGGGUCG